AGGACGAACGCUGGCGGCGUGCUUAACACAUGCAAGUCGAGCGAUGAAGCUCCUUCGGGAGUGGAUUAGCGGCGGACGGGUGAGUAACACGUGGGCAACCUGCCUGUAGAGAGGAAUAGCCAUUCGAAAGGAUGAUUAAUACCUCAUAAUAUUGUAGCUUCGCAUGAAGCAACAACCAAAGGAGCAAUCCACUACAAGAUGGGCCCGCGGCGCAUUAGCUAGUUGGUGGGGUAACGGCUCACCAAGGCGACGAUGCGUAGCCGACCUGAGAGGGUGAUCGGCCACAUUGGGACUGAGACACGGCCCAGACUCCUACGGGAGGCAGCAGUGGGGAAUAUUACACAAUGGGGGAAACCCUGAUGCAGCAAACCGCCGCGUGAGUGAUGACGGUCUUCGGAUUGUAAAGCUCUGUCUUCAGGGACGAUAAUGACGGUACCUGAGGAGGAAGCCACGGCUAACUACGUGCCAGCCGCUGC
Molecule: ribosomal RNA, 476 nt
Filed under: uncultured bacterium
Lineage: Bacteria
Description: bacterial SSU rRNA
Rfam family: Bacterial small subunit ribosomal RNA
Source: RNAcentral